ACAGAUAUAAGUUAAGUUUAAACUAUUGGUCUUCAAAACCAAAAAUAUUAAUCUGUA
This 57-nucleotide transfer RNA is filed under the name Rhabditophanes sp. KR3021. Its description in RNAcentral is "tRNA-Trp". Lineage: Eukaryota; Metazoa; Nematoda; Chromadorea; Rhabditida; Alloionematidae. The record is from RNAcentral.